This is a long non-coding RNA of Magnolia sinica, 649 nucleotides long. RefSeq lists it as uncharacterized. The transcript has 2 exons. Lineage: Eukaryota; Viridiplantae; Streptophyta; Magnoliopsida; Magnoliales; Magnoliaceae. The record is from RefSeq and is a predicted model, not a curated record.
UGCUCACGAGGGCCGGUCGCCUUGUACAAGAAGAAUGGACAGUCUGAUUCAAUAUACAAAUGAGUGCCUAUUUGUUGAGUGGACCAUUCUGAUUUUUUGCAUCAGGUCAUCUUCGUGGUGGAUCCCACCGUUUACAGCUAGAUGUAUUACACUUGACACAUUGGCAAAUGAGCUUUGUUGCCUUUGAAGCUCACAUGCAACCAAUUGUAUGCAAUCAUACUGGUGUUGUCAACCCCAAGUUGUUUCUAGCAGCAAUGAGUAAAUCGACUGUAUUAUCAUACCAGAUUUGCAGCUUUGCCUCAAUUUCUGUGAUGCGUGGUCAAAUUUAGCUAGUGCAUAUACGAGGAAAGGAAGACUUAAUGAGGCAGCCUAGUGCUGUCGCCAGGCUCUUGCAUUGAACCCUCGCUUGGUAAAAUCCUUGUUUUGUUUUAUCAUUUAGUUUUCUUCUUUUAUUGUAGAUGCAUUGAAAUUACUAUUUGCAUAUCUUCCCCUUAUUGGCAGGUUGAUGCUCAUAGCAACCUUGGUAAUCUGAUGAAGGCACAAGGCUUAGUACAAGAAGUAAGUCAUAGUGGAUUCGAUACAUUAUUUUCAUUGGAUGUUCUUUAAGACUCGAAGUAGAAUUCGAGAACCAUGAUCCAUGAUUGGACUG